AUCAACUCUGCCUUCCAUGAAAUAGGCUUUCUCCAAUAAGCGCCAGAGAAAAGGGAUCCCUUCCCUUAUCAUCACUUGUUUCUGUAGCAAUUCGAUAGCCUUUGAUGUAUGUCCAGUGCACAACAGCACAUCAUACCAAAAUUCAUUGAAAACAUCAAGUUGCUCCCCAGAGGCUCCAAUCAUUCUAUAGUUUAUGGCAUCAAAAUCAGGACCAAGU
This 217-nucleotide unclassified non-coding RNA is filed under the name Hevea brasiliensis (rubber tree). Lineage: Eukaryota; Viridiplantae; Streptophyta; Magnoliopsida; Malpighiales; Euphorbiaceae. The record is from RNAcentral.